GACGAACGCUGGCGGCGUGCUUAACACAUGCAAGUCGAACGGAAAGGCCCUGCUUUUGUGGGGUGCUCGAGUGGCGAACGGGUGAGUAACACGUGAGUAACCUGCCCUUGACUUUGGGAUAACUUCAGGAAACUGGGGCUAAUACCGGAUAGGAGCUCCUGCUGCAUGGUGGUGGUUGGAAAUUUUCGGCGGUUGGGGAUGGACUCGCGGCUUAUCAGCUUGUUGGUGGGGUAGUGGCUUACCAAGGAUUUGACGGGUAGCCGGCCUGAGAGGGUGACCGGCCACAUUGGGACUGAGAUACGGCCCAGAAUGCUACGGGAGGCAGCAGUGGGGAAUAGUGCACAAUGGGCGGAAGCCUGAUGCAGCAACGCCGCGUGCGGGAUGACGGCCUUCGGGUUGUAAACCGCUUUCGCCUGUGACGAAGCGUGAGUGACGGUAAUGGGUAAAGAAGCACCGGCUAACUACGUG
This 468-nucleotide ribosomal RNA is filed under the name uncultured bacterium. RNAcentral's name for it is "partial 16S ribosomal RNA". It matches the Rfam family "Bacterial small subunit ribosomal RNA", at positions 28 to 507 of the family's 1533-position model. The record is from RNAcentral.